GCCGCCGGCGCGGUCAGAAGGACGUCAGAGAGGCCGCGGCUCUCGGCGCGUCGCCCUCGCCACACCCGGCGGCCAUUUUCCCUCCGUCUCCACGAACUGACAGAGGAAUAAGCCACAAUUGGAACUUCAGAAGACACUGCAAGUACCUUGCAAAUGUACCAGCUCUGCAUCCUUCCUCCGGAGCCCAGGGGCCAGGUUCCUGCCCUCCUUGAAUACUGGAGGAUUUAUCAUCUUGGUCACCUUCACUCCCCCUGCACGGCCUGGGCCUGCACCUCUGACUUGCCCGGGCUGGCAACAGCCAUCAUCCCUGCUCACGACUCCCUGCUGGAAACAUUCCCCUCCCUGCAUGCCUGUGACACUGUUUCUCCUAGAUUUCCUCCCAUAUCCCCGACUGGUCCUCUCAGAUUCCACCUUACAUAAACUGGCCGAUGUUUCCAAAGUCAAAGCCGGACUGGCCAGUCUCCCCACCCAACGUGUCCACCUCCUCGUGGCUUCUGUCAGGGCACCAGGUUCCUACCAGGAGCUGGGACGUCAGCCUCCUCCUCCCCAGGGCCACCCAGGCCUCCCACCACCUACCUGACUUUAACCAGGUUCAUCAAGCUGAUGGGUUUGAAGGCUUCUGAAGUUCCAGACCAGGAGUACCCCAAGUCCCCAACUACUCUCCCUGCCCCUGCGGCCCCGUCUCUCAAGGAGAUUGCUAAUGCCUGCUUCUUUAAAGUCCUCGGCAUCCCUCCAUUGACAUGGGGUCAUCCCCCCAGACGCACCUCAGUGUGCACGGCAGGCAGGGGUCCUCGUUGGCCGCUGUUCACCUUCUUGCCAUUGCUCUCAUCGCUCUAUCCACGACUCCCCCACCCACUCUGCCCUGCCCACUCGCGGACACAUGACCUCUCCGUUCAUGGAGACGGAGGAAAACGGCCGCCGGGUGUGCUGAGAUACUGUCCACACUGCCUCCGUGUCCUCCCUUCUGCCCCCCGCCACUCCCCCAGUGAAAACCCCUGAAGAUGCUCCAUGUACAAGCUGUGCUGCUCUUUAAAGCUGUGCAGAUAACAGCCUGGAAAGAAGGUACUAGAAAUAGGCCUUACUUUAGCCCACAUUUAAUGGAGGAUGGGAGGAGGGUCAGAGUGCCGGAGACAGGGCGGGAGAAGAGGAGGAAAGCUUGGAAGGGGGGUGGUGGUGUCAGAGAGCAGCCCCCUCCCCUGCGCUCCCCCAGCGAGUCUGCGCCAGAGAAAGAGGGACCUUCAGUUCGGGUCUUUGUUGUUAGACUAGACCAGGCAUUGAAGGACUGAGAUGAGAACUUGUCGUGACCGAAAGGGACUAGCUAAGAUUUAGGAUCUGAAUAUGGGGAAAUUAUGACCCCUAGUCAGAACGCCAGCCAGGGCUGGACAGAAGUGGAAGUAAGGCAUGUACAGGGCAGACCCCAGCGCAAAGAAUGGAUUCAUUCUCCUCUGUCAAAUGAUAGUUAGCUAGAAAAUUACAUCUAUUCUGAUACCAAAUGUUUCCUAACUCAUACCAAAGGCUGUUUAUUCUUUUCCUACUAUGGACUCCAGCCACCAUAUGGUGCAGCGAUAGAACUGUUGCAAAAUACAACUGAAAUGCUUUCUCCUCAGUUUUGUUUCAUCUUUCACUCUCUGCACAUUCUUGAUCUUUUCCUGGCUGGCACAAUUUGCCUAAAUCUCUCUAGCAAAUGGUUCCCACGGGCCUCUUGCUUCAGCAGAAUCACUCAUCACUUCAAGAACCUGGCUUUUCUGCUGUCGUGGGCCAUCGUGUAGAAGGGAAAAGAUGGGCUGGCUCCACUCCUCAGCGCACCCCCCUCAGAAUUCUAUGUGAUGGCCCUCCCAUCUCCUCAGCAGUCCCUGCAGGCAGGAAUGGUGAUGUCAAGAGUCCAGUCUUGGCAUUUGCCUCCAGAAUUUGGAAAAUACAGAAAUAUUCCAAGAAUAGAUCUGGCCCCUAAUCUCACCACUCAGGCUUCCCCGUCUUCUGAAACAGUGAGUUGAGCCCAAACUUUACUGACCAAAGUCAUCCUUUUAAACAUUCAUUAUUGACAGCAUUGCUCCUAGAUGUCAUUUUUUGGCCUUAAUUAGUGACGACUGUCCGUAUCAUUUCUCCUGAUAACUUUACCUCUCUCUCCCUGACCCAUUUCAUCUGUGUUAACCCCUUUAACACAGAUGGCUGUGUCCUUAACUGGGAUAGAGCCAGAAAGAACGAAGACAGUAGAGCACACAGACACGGACAGACGGGCGAGGGUAAGUGCAAAGCUCUGCUGAGGCGGGGCAGAGAGGGAGGGGGAGCCAGGAAGACAGCCCAUACCCAGUGUUUGGGAGAGAGUUUUAACUGAGUUCACAUCAAGUCAUAAGAAAGAGAUUCAGGUUUCAGCUGAUUGCAAGCUCAACAUACAGCCAACGGGGCUGCCCACGGGGUGACACUGUCGCUAACCCACCACCACCGGUGUUGUUAGACUCUAAGGCUUUUUUCUUCUUCAAAUUCUUACUCACCUGCAGAGAAUCUGAGCAUCUGGAGCCCCCUCUGUGAGAGCACAAUCUAACUAGGGAGGUGGGCAGUGUACUAACAGGAAAUAUAACCAGCUCAAGAUAGCAGAGACUCAGAACCAAGGAUGUAGCUCAGAGCAGGCCGUGGUCUCUAGGGACGGCUGGGCGCCGAGCAAUGCCCUGGACAAGAGGAGGAGGGUUAGCAGGGCUCGGGGAAAUGCGGUCAGAGAAGAAGUGGGAACCAGCAUUGCACGAACACGAGAGGCCACUCAAAGUUGCCAUCCCACAGCACUGGUUUAGAGGGAUCCAUGGAAGGAGCAGGGCAACAUGAAGUUAGUUGGCCAUUCCAUUUUUCUUCCCCUUCUUAAGAAUUUGCAAGUCUCUCCAAUUCUACGGUCUUGGCAUCUUGGAACACCUAUGUUGGCACCCUGAGCCUCUCUGUUAGCCUCCCCAGCUAAGUUCACUCAUCAGCGCAGAUUCCCAUCAGAGGGAAGAGCAGGAAUUGAGAGAGAGAGUUCAUAUUGCACUGCGUCCACUGUGGGUCCCUUUUUACACUUUCAAUUCUAUGAGACUAUGAAUUAAUGUUUCAUUUUAUUGUGCCAUAAAUAUAUGCAACUUGGAUCUGUUAGUAUGUUUUGAAAUUUCACCUGUCUCCUAUCUUAAUCAUAUUUAGUUUCAUUUUAUCUUAUUUUAAAUUAUCAAGCAGUUUUCGCUUGCUAACGAUACAUAAAGGCUAGCCAUCAUUUAACUUUAGAUUCAACUGAUUUUAUUAACGAUUCCACUUUAUUGCUAUAUUUCCUUCUCUAAAACCAAAGGCUAAUCUAAAGACAGCUGCUUUUCCAUUAGUUCUUACGAAGUGUUAAAUCUUCUCUUACCCACUUCUGAGUUGCCUACCAAGUGGUUCUUUACUGAAGUGAAUUGACUUCAACUUGAUUUAUUUAAACAUUGGGUAUUUAUGUGCCAAUACAACACUAUUUAAAUUGCUGUUCCUUUAUAAUUAGUUGUAAUAUUUUCUAGGGUGCAGGGGA
Long non-coding RNA from Talpa occidentalis (Iberian mole), 3514 nucleotides. RefSeq lists it as uncharacterized. The transcript is spliced from 3 exons. NCBI's taxonomy places the organism in Eukaryota, Metazoa, Chordata, Mammalia, Eulipotyphla, Talpidae. The record is from RefSeq and is a predicted model, not a curated record.